CCAGUGUGGCGUAGUGGUUUGAGUGUUGGACUGCAACUCUGGAGAUCAGGGUUCAAUUCCCAGAUAGGA
Molecule: transfer RNA, 69 nt
Filed under: Phrynosoma platyrhinos (Desert horned lizard)
Lineage: Eukaryota; Metazoa; Chordata; Lepidosauria; Squamata; Phrynosomatidae
Description: tRNA-OTHER
Source: RNAcentral